This 161-nucleotide ribosomal RNA is filed under the name uncultured bacterium. RNAcentral describes it as "partial 16S rRNA". It matches the Rfam family "Bacterial small subunit ribosomal RNA", at positions 358 to 511 of the family's 1533-position model. The record is from RNAcentral.
GGAAUCUUCCACAAUGGACGAAAGUCUGAUGGAGCAACGCCGCGUGAGUGAAGAAGGUUUUCGGAUCGUAAAGCUCUGUUGUUGGUGAAGAAGGAUAGAGGCAGUAACUGGUCUUUAUUUGACGGUAAUCAACCAGAAAGUCACGGCUAACUACGUGCCAA